AUGGGGAACUUGUUGGCUGCUGGCUCGCCACCCGCCGGCCCGAAGCCUGUGCCAGCCCUCAUGGAGCUUUACGCUGCCACCACUGGGGGCGGACUGGGCACUGGAACCAGCACCGGCCGAGGUUCAGAACGGACAUCUGGGACUGCAGCCUCCAGCACCGCACGGGCCACUGAUGACCGGGCCUGCGGCUGCUUGCCCAACCUGGGCACAUUUGAGGAGUGCCACUGCAAGUGCAAAGAGCUGUUUCCUAUUCAAAUGAAGGGCGUCAAACUCACUGUCAACAAAAGGUUGAGUAACCAUUUCCAGGUGGACCACAUAGUAGCCCUCAGCACAACCAGGGAGUCCACCUACCACUUCGGGGUCACAUAUGUGAGGACAAAGCAGCUGUGUCCCACAGAGGACUUCCCUGUGCUGGUGGGCGACAUGGACAACAGUGGCAGCCUCAGUGCUCAGCUCAUUCACCAGCUAGGCCCCAGCCUCAGGUCCAAGAUGGCCAUCCAGAAGCAGCAGUCAAAGUUUGUGAACUGGCAGGUGGAUGGGGAGUACCGGGGUUUAGACUUCACUGCAGAUGUCACCCUGGGGAUCCCUGAUGUCUUGGUGGGUUUAGGAAUCCUUGUGGCCCAUUACCUCCCGAGCAUCAGUCUGUCUGGCCCUGAGCGGAGAACUGGUCUACCACUGGUGGCCUGGAGAGGAGGGCACUGAUAUGUCUCUAGCUGGGAAAUACACACUAAACAACUGGUUGGCAACAGUGACACUACGCCAGGUGGGCAUGCAUGCAACAUACUACUAAAAAGCCAGUGAUCACUUGCAGAUGGGCAUAGAGUUUGAGGCCAGCACAAAGAUGCAGGAUACCAGUGUCUCCUUCGGGUACCAGCUGGACCUGCACAAGGCCAACUUCCUCUUCAAAGGCUCCACGGACAGCAACUGGAUAAUGAGAGCUAUGCUGGAGAAGAAGCUGCCACCACUGCCCCUGACGCUGUUGCUCGGGGCCUUCCUGAACCACAGCAAGAACGAGUUCCAUUGUGGCUUUGGCCUCACCACUGGCUGA
This is an RNA transcript of Octodon degus (degu), 1048 nucleotides long. It is a transcript of the gene named mitochondrial import receptor subunit TOM40 homolog pseudogene, with no coding region annotated. Lineage: Eukaryota; Metazoa; Chordata; Mammalia; Rodentia; Octodontidae. The transcript has a single exon. The record is from RefSeq and is a predicted model, not a curated record.